GAACCUGAAACCCUGCACUUACAAGCUGUGGAAGCACAUUUCUUGUGGGACCGCGUACUUUUUGUAGAACGGGCCAACGAGUUACGUUAAGUAGCAAGGUUAAGCACUUAAGGUGUGGAGCCGUAGCGAAAGCGAGUUUUAACUGAGCGUUCAGUUACUUGACGUAGACCCGAAACCGGGCGACCUACCCAUGAGCAGGAUGAAGCGAAAGUAAAAUUUCGUGGAGGUCCGAACCC
RNAcentral lists this ribosomal RNA (236 nucleotides) under Clostridioides difficile. RNAcentral's name for it is "partial 23S ribosomal RNA". It matches the Rfam family "Bacterial large subunit ribosomal RNA", at positions 546 to 781 of the family's 2925-position model. Lineage: Bacteria; Bacillati; Bacillota; Clostridia; Peptostreptococcales; Peptostreptococcaceae. The record is from RNAcentral.